UUGGAGGGCAAGUCUGGUGCCAGCAGCCGCGGUAAUUCCAGCUCCAAUAGCGUAUAUUAAAGUUGUUGCAGUUAAAAAGCUCGUAGUUGAAUUUCGGGGUCAGUAGGUUGGCCAUGCCACUGGUAUGUACUGGUCUCACUGAUUCCUCCUUCCUGAUGAACUGUAAUGCCAUUAAUUUGGUGUUGCAGGGAAUCUGGACUGUUACUUUGAAAAAAUUAGAGUGUUUAAAGCAGGCUAACGCCUGAAUACAUUAGCAUGGAAUAAUGAAAUAGGACGUUCGAUCCUAUUUUGUUGGUUUCUAGGAUUGACGUAAUGAUUAAUAGGGAUAGUUGGGGCAUUAGUAUUCAAUUGUCAGAGGUGAAAUCCUUGGAUUUAUUGAAGACUAACUACUGCGAAAGCAUUUGCCAAGGAUGUUUUCAUUAAUCAAGAACGAAAGUUAGGGGAUCGAAGACGAUCAGAUACCGUCGUAGUCUUAACCAUAAACUAUGCCGACUAGGGAUCGGAUGAUGUUAAUUUUUAAUG
This 522-nucleotide ribosomal RNA is filed under the name uncultured Glomeromycotina. RNAcentral describes it as "SSU rRNA". It matches the Rfam family "Eukaryotic small subunit ribosomal RNA", at positions 548 to 1075 of the family's 1831-position model. The record is from RNAcentral. Lineage: Eukaryota; Fungi; Glomeromycota.